ACUCCUACGGGAGGCAGCAGUGGGAAUAUUGCACAAUGCCCGAAAGGGUGACGCAGCGACGCCGCGUGAGCGAUGAAGCACUAUGGUGUGUAAAGCUCUGUUAGCAGGGAAGAACGGCCGCAUUUCGGUAAGGGAUGCGGAUUGACGGUACCUGCAAAGAAAGCUCCGGCUAACUCCGUGCCAGCAGCCGCGGUAAUACGGGGAGGG
RNAcentral lists this ribosomal RNA (207 nucleotides) under uncultured bacterium. RNAcentral describes it as "partial 16S ribosomal RNA". It matches the Rfam family "Bacterial small subunit ribosomal RNA", at positions 335 to 534 of the family's 1533-position model. The record is from RNAcentral.